GGUGGUGGACAGAGACAUCCUGCACUCCCCUGAGGAGGUACGUAGGAACACACUAAUAAAGGACGGUAUGAGGGAGCAGGUCAUCCCCAGCCUGGGUAGUCUUGGUACCAGAUCCUUUGGGCGUAUCAGCAGUCUCACCCUGAGAUCACCUGUCAAUGUCUGGAGGUGGUGGGGGCAUACGUCUCCUGGAUAGACCUCAACCUCAUCGCCAACGACAGGUUUAUAAACCUCCUCCUGAGUCAGAUGUCUGUGGAGGACCUGAGAGAGGAGGCGUGUGACUGCCUGUUUGAGAUUGUUAAUAAAGGCAUGGACCCGACAGACAAGACCAAACUGAUUGAGUCUCUCUGUCAGGUCCUGCAGUCUGCUGGCUUCUUCAAUGUGGACCAGGUAGGUGUACACACACACACACA
Non-coding RNA from Salvelinus sp. IW2-2015, 410 nucleotides. The record is from RefSeq and is a predicted model, not a curated record. Lineage: Eukaryota; Metazoa; Chordata; Actinopteri; Salmoniformes; Salmonidae.